Molecule: ribosomal RNA, 377 nt
Filed under: uncultured bacterium
Lineage: Bacteria
Description: bacterial SSU rRNA
Rfam family: Bacterial small subunit ribosomal RNA
Source: RNAcentral
GACGAACGCUGGCGGCGUGCUUAACACAUGCAAGUCGAACGGCGAACCAGAGCUUGCUCUGGGGAUCAGUGGCGAACGGGUGAGUAACACGUGGGCAACCUGCCCCAGACUCUGGGAUAACCUCGGGAAACCGAUGCUAAUACCGGAUACGACCACUUCGGACAUCCGACGGUGGUGGAAAGUUUUUUCGGCUGGGAUGGGCCCGCGGCCUAUCAGCUAGUUGGUGGGGUAAUGGCCUACCAAGGCGACGACGGGUAGCCGGCCCUGAGAGGGCGACCGGCCACACUGGAACUGAGACACGGUCCAGACUCCUACGGGAGGCAGCAGUGGGGAAUAUUGCACAAUGGGCGAAAGCCUGAUGCAGCGACGCCGCGUGA